Molecule: ribozyme, 328 nt
Rfam family: Nuclear RNase P
About the family: Ribonuclease P (RNase P) is a ubiquitous endoribonuclease, found in archaea, bacteria and eukarya as well as chloroplasts and mitochondria. Its best characterised activity is the generation of mature 5'-ends of tRNAs by cleaving the 5'-leader elements of precursor-tRNAs. Cellular RNase Ps are ribonucleoproteins.
Source: Ensembl
UGAGGGAAGCUUAUCAGUGAGGCCAUGAGCUGAGUGCAUUUAGCCACUCUAUCCCGUGUCCCCUGGGAAGGUUUAAGACUAGGGCCAAAAGGGGCCCUAACAGGGUCUUCCCAGAGCUUCGAGGAGGUGAGUUCUGAGAUAAUGGGCUCUGAGCAAGGGCAGACUGGGCAGGAGAGGCCAUGGACCUUGCCCGUAUGGAAGAGCCCAGCAAAUGCCUCCUUAGCCAGAGCUUGGAACAGACUCAUGACCAGCACCCAAGUGAGUUCAAUGUGAGGUGAGUACCCUGCAUGGGGUUCUCAUAACCCAUGCAGACUAUUCUCCCUGUUCU